GGUGAACGCUGGCGGCGUGCCUAAUGCAUGCAAGUCGAGCGAACAGACGAGGAGCUUGCUCCUCUGACGUUAGCGGCGGACGGGUGAGUAACACGUGGAUAACCUACCUAUAAGACUGGGAUAACUUCGGGAAACCGGAGCUAAUACCGGAUAAUAUAUUGAACCGCAUGGUUCAAUAGUGAAAGACGGUUUUGCUGUCACUUAUAGAUGGAUCCGCGCCGCAUUAGCUAGUUGGUAAGGUAACGGCUUACCAAGGCAACGAUGCGUAGCCGACCUGAGAGGGUGAUCGGCCACACUGGAACUGAGACACGGUCCAGACUCCUACGGGAGGCAGCAGUAGGGAAUCUUCCGCAAUGGGCGAAAGCCUGACGGAGCAACGCCGCGUGAGUGAUGAAGGUCUUCGGAUCGUAAAACUCUGUUAUUAGGGAAGAACAAAUGUGUAAGUAACUAUGCACGUCUUGACGGUACCUAAUCAGAAAGCCACGGCUAACUACGUG
RNAcentral lists this ribosomal RNA (497 nucleotides) under uncultured bacterium. Its description in RNAcentral is "partial 16S ribosomal RNA". It matches the Rfam family "Bacterial small subunit ribosomal RNA", at positions 28 to 507 of the family's 1533-position model. The record is from RNAcentral.